This 506-nucleotide ribosomal RNA is filed under the name uncultured bacterium. Its description in RNAcentral is "partial 16S ribosomal RNA". The record is from RNAcentral.
GGAGUUAGCCGGUGCUUCUUCUGUGAGUGAUGUCCUUCCUGCCGGCUAUUAACCCGCAGGCCUUCUUCCUCACUGAAAGUGCUUUACAACCCGAAGGCCUUCUUCACACACGCGGCAUGGCUGGAUCAGGGUUGCCCCCAUUGUCCAAUAUUCCCCACUGCUGCCUCCCGUAGGAGUCUGGGCCGUGUCUCAGUCCCAGUGUGGCUGAUCAUCCUCUCAGACCAGCUACGGAUCGUCGCCUUGGUGAGCCGUUACCUCACCAACCAGCUAAUCCGACAUAGGCUCAUCCGAUAGCGCGAGGCCCGAAGGUCCCCCGCUUUCCCCCGUAGGGCGUAUGCGGUAUUAGCCUGGGUUUCCCCAGGUUAUCCCCCACUACCGGGCAGAUUCCUAUGCAUUACUCACCCGUCCGCCGCUCGCCACCAGGGAGCAAGCUCCCCGUGCUGCCGCUCGACUUGCAUGUGUUAGGCCUGCCGCCAGCGUUCAAUCUGAGCCAGGAUCAAACUCUG